Molecule: ribosomal RNA, 622 nt
Filed under: Salmonella enterica subsp. enterica serovar Newport str. CFSAN000826
Lineage: Bacteria; Pseudomonadati; Pseudomonadota; Gammaproteobacteria; Enterobacterales; Enterobacteriaceae
Description: partial 23S ribosomal RNA
Rfam family: Bacterial large subunit ribosomal RNA
Source: RNAcentral
GGGGUGUGACUGCGUACCUUUUGUAUAAUGGGUCAGCGACUUAUAUUCUGUAGCAAGGUUAACCGUAUAGGGGAGCCGAAGGGAAACCGAGUCUUAACCGGGCGUUAAGUUGCAGGGUAUAGACCCGAAACCCGGUGAUCUAGCCAUGGGCAGGUUGAAGGUUGGGUAACACUAACUGGAGGACCGAACCGACUAAUGUUGAAAAAUUAGCGGAUGACCUGUGGCUGGGGGUGAAAGGCCAAUCAAACCGGGAGAUAGCUGGUUCUCCCCGAAAGCUAUUUAGGUAGCGCCUCGUGAAUUCAUCUCCGGGGGUAGAGCACUGUUUCGGCUAGGGGGCCAUCCCGGCUUACCAACCCGAUGCAAACUGCGAAUACCGGAGAAUGUUAUCACGGGAGACACACGGCGGGUGCUAACGUCCGUCGUGAAGAGGGAAACAACCCAGACCGCCAGCUAAGGUCCCAAAGUCAUGGUUAAGUGGGAAACGAUGUGGGAAGGCCCAGACAGCCAGGAUGUUGGCUUAGAAGCAGCCAUCAUUUAAAGAAAGCGUAAUAGCUCACUGGUCGAGUCGGCCUGCGCGGAAGAUGUAACGGGGCUAAACCAUGCACCGAAGCUGCGGCAGCGA